RNAcentral lists this long non-coding RNA (1150 nucleotides) under Ananas comosus (pineapple). Its description in RNAcentral is "long non-coding RNA (ACOM_LNC042717)". Lineage: Eukaryota; Viridiplantae; Streptophyta; Magnoliopsida; Poales; Bromeliaceae. The record is from RNAcentral.
UUUUCUAUCAAAAUUUGAAGAAAUUCAGAUUCUUCUAUACCGUUAAACUCCAAACUCGCUAUAGUAGCCCUUGAAAAUUAACAAUUUUGAAAUUAUUUGAUCAUAAAGUAAACUAUGUCGAAAAAAUAUAAAAUUUUAUGUCUAAAAACUUUAAAUACCCUAGAUCAGUUUUAACGGUGUGGAUCGUUGAUUUGAAUACCCUAAAAUCGAAAACGAGACUAUAGUACCAGAGACCCGGUACUAUAGAUAGUGUAGGAGACUAGCUCUUUCUCUCUCUCUCUCUCUCUCUCUCUCUCUCUCUCUCUCUCUCUCUCUCUAUAUAUAUAUAUAUAUAUAUAUAGUAGGUCUUGUGUGCUACCGUGCUCUAAGCCGUUUUUGAUGAUGGAGCUUUUAAAUCGACGAUCGGCUCCGUUAGAUUUGAUUUAGCAUAUUUGAAAUAUGUGGAAAAUAAAUUUUGCGAUUUUUCGAUAUCAUUUACCUAACAAUCAAAAAAGUUCGAAAUCAACAAUUUUUAAUGCUUGAUGUAUGUUGUUUGCAAGUUUAACAGUAUAGAAGUAUUCAAAUCAGAUAAAAUUUUGAUAGAAAAUUUUUAUACUAUUUACUGCAAGAUUAAUAUCUCUUAUCGAAAAUUUUAGUGCUAUAUUAUCAAUUUUUUUUGAGAUUUUUAUUUUCAGCUAUUGAUUUUGAACCCUUUCAAUCACUAGGUAAAUGAUAUCGAAAAUUUGCAAAAUUUAUUUGUCAAAUACUUUAAAUAAAUUAGAUUAAGUUUAACAGAGUCGAUUGCUGAUUCAGAAGUUCCAUCAUCGAAAACGACUUACGAGCAUGGAGGCCUCUGUGCUCCUAAUAGCACACAAGACCCACUCUAUAUAGAGUUUGGCUAAAAUAUUAUUGAUAGUAUUUGCUUUCUUUUGCUAUUAAAAUUAUAGGAUUAUGAUGAUAUUAGUCCCUUAAGGCUUCGUUUGGUUCGGAUAUAAGCAAAAACUAGUUAUACCGGGAAUAGGUACAAGUAUAAAUUUUCGUAGAAACAAGGAUAUUUUUUUGUUUGGAUGAAAAUGUGAGUAUAAGCUGGAACUAGAAAAAUUGCGUUUAGAUGAAAAUGUGAGUAUAAGGUGGAAUAGUUGGUAAUUAUAAAUAGAAAAUAAUAAUAUUA